AAUGAACGCUGGCGGCAGGCCUAACACAUGCAAGUCGAACGGAUCCUUCGGGAUUAGUGGCGGACGGGUGAGUAACGCAUGGGAACAUACCCUUUGGUACGGAAUAGCCUCGGGAAACUGGGAGUAAUACCGUAUGUGGUCGAGAGACGAAAGAUUUAUCGCCAAAGGAUUGGCCCGCGUUGGAUUAGGUAGUUGGUGGGGGAAUGGCCUACCAAGCCGACGAUCCAUAGCUGGUUUGAGAGGAUGAUCAGCCACACUGGGACUGAGACACGGCCCAGACUCCUACGGGAGGCAGCAGUGGGGAGUCUUAGACAAUGGGGGAAACCCUGAUCUAGCCAUGCCGCGUGAUCGAUGAAGGCCUUAGGGUUGUAAAGAUCUUUCAGGUGGGAAGAUAAUGACUGUACCACCAGAAGAAGCCCCGGCUAACUCCGUGCCAGCCGCCGCCGUAA
RNAcentral lists this ribosomal RNA (449 nucleotides) under uncultured bacterium. Its description in RNAcentral is "partial 16S ribosomal RNA". It matches the Rfam family "Bacterial small subunit ribosomal RNA", at positions 29 to 523 of the family's 1533-position model. The record is from RNAcentral.